RNAcentral lists this ribosomal RNA (490 nucleotides) under uncultured bacterium. RNAcentral describes it as "partial 16S ribosomal RNA". It matches the Rfam family "Bacterial small subunit ribosomal RNA", at positions 29 to 506 of the family's 1533-position model. The record is from RNAcentral.
AGUGAACGCUGGCGGUAGGCCUAACACAUGCAAGUCGAACGGCAGCACAGUAAGAGCUUGCUCUUACGGGUGGCGAGUGGCGGACGGGUGAGGAAUACAUCGGAAUCUACUUUUUCGUGGGGGAUAACGUAGGGAAACUUACGCUAAUACCGCAUACGACCUACGGGUGAAAGCAGGGGAUCUUCGGACCUUGCGCGAUUGAAUGAGCCGAUGUCGGAUUAGCUAGUUGGCGGGGUAAAGGCCCACCAAGGCGACGAUCCGUAGCUGGUCUGAGAGGAUGACAGCCAACACUGAACUGAGACACGGUCCAGACUCCUACGGGAGGCAGCAGUGGGGAAUAUUGGACAAUGGGCGCAAGCCUGAUCCAGCCAUACCGCGUGGGUGAAGAAGGCCUUCGGGUUGUAAAGCCCUUUUGUUGGGAAAGAAAAGCAGCAGGUUAAUACCCCGCUGUUCUGACGGUACCCAAAGAAUAAGCACCGGCUAACUUCGU